CAAAAACAAGUCAUCCUUCAUCAGCUUCGAUUCACAUGUCAUGUUCCAUGCGUAACAAUGGCAGUCAGCAAGCUCCAUCUGGAAGCAAAGGACGCGUCGUGCGUGGAGCGACGGAGAGGAACUCUUCUUGCUGGGAAUAAUGAAGGAGUUGGUAGCUACUGGCUGGAAGUCCGAUAACGGCUUCAGAUCUGGGUAUCAAAUGAAAGCGGAAGAGGCAAUGCACCGAGAGUUUCCGGGGACUGAUUUGAAAGCGAACCCUCACAUCCAAUAGAGAAUUCACACCUGGAAGAAGAGCUUCUAUGCUCUGUUAAAGAUACUAGAUCGAAGUGGUGUCGAAUUCAAUGUUCACUGUGACUAUAAGAUCGACGUAAGCGAAGAUCAAUGGAGCGAAAUUGUUAAGGUACUUG
Salvia splendens (bonfire salvia) is the source of this 407-nucleotide long non-coding RNA. RefSeq lists it as uncharacterized. The record is from RefSeq and is a predicted model, not a curated record. NCBI's taxonomy places the organism in Eukaryota, Viridiplantae, Streptophyta, Magnoliopsida, Lamiales, Lamiaceae. The transcript has 3 exons.